AUUGAACGCUAGCGGCAGGCCUAACACAUGCAAGUCGAGCGGAUGAAGGGAGCUUGCUCCUGGAUUCAGCGGCGGACGGGUGAGUAAUGCCUAGGAAUCUGCCUGGUAGUGGGGGAUAACGUCCGGAAACGGGCGCUAAUACCGCAUACGUCCUGAGGGGGAAAGUGGGGGAUCUUCGGACCUCACGCUAUCAGAUGAGCCUAGGUCGGAUUAGCUAGUUGGUGGGGUAAAGGCCUACCAAGGCGACGAUCCGUAACUGGUCUGAGAGGAUGAUCAGUCACACUGGAACUGAGACACGGUCCAGACUCCUACGGGAGGCAGCAGUGGGGAAUAUUGGACAAUGGGCGAAAGCCUGAUCCAGCCAUGCCGCGUGUGUGAAGAAGGUCUUCGGAUUGUAAAGCACUUUAAGUUGGGAGGAAGGGCAGUAAGUUAAUACCUUGCUGUUUUGACGUUACCAACAGAAUAAGCACCGGCUAACUUCGUG
RNAcentral lists this ribosomal RNA (484 nucleotides) under uncultured bacterium. Its description in RNAcentral is "partial 16S ribosomal RNA". It matches the Rfam family "Bacterial small subunit ribosomal RNA", at positions 30 to 507 of the family's 1533-position model. The record is from RNAcentral.